RNAcentral lists this long non-coding RNA (1950 nucleotides) under Lathyrus oleraceus (garden pea). RNAcentral's name for it is "Pisum sativum (pea) long non-coding RNA (PSAT_LNC020184)". Lineage: Eukaryota; Viridiplantae; Streptophyta; Magnoliopsida; Fabales; Fabaceae. The record is from RNAcentral.
AAUAUAAAUCUUCCUGUAACAUGUAAAGGAAACAAUAAUAUACACAUAAAAUCCAAGCCAAAUGUAAACAAAACAAUUUGUAGCAGCAAGUCGCCAUGUAUAUGUAUGAAUUACAUAACAACCAAAUUUUCCCAACUGCACAUCUUUAUGUAAAUCCAAGCAGCUUAUUCUAAAAUCAUGAAUUGAAAAAUCAUAACAACCACGACAGAUACACUACAGAACUUUCUCAAUACACAACACCCUUUUACUAAUAAAACUAUGGCAUAUAACAAUGAAUCUCAUAGCAACCUAACCAAAACAACUAUAUGAUUAAAGCCAAACCGUAAUGGACAUUUUUGAAGAGAACUCGAGAUUGUUACCGAAAUACGACUCUUCCGGUAUUACCAGCUACUGAUGCAUUUGUCGUUGCUGCUAGUUCUUACUAUUGUUUUAUCGCCUCCGCUCACUCAAAGCUUCCUCCUGCGAUCUGUCCCGGUUUUGAUUUCGACUCUAUGGCCACAAUGAUCAUCGACCUGUCCUCAAGGCUUGCGAGACCGAAAUCACCGCAAUGGUUUGACCUGCAAAAUAGAAAUGAAUUCACAACCCAUCAAAUGUCCAAACAGCCAUUAAAGCGAGGGUUUUGGUCGAUGGUGAUAUGAGGAUUUGUUGAAAAUGUGUGGCGGCAGGUAUGACGGAAAAUGAAGGGUUUUCGUGAGGGUUGGUGGUCAAAGGGUUUAGGGUUAUGGAAACGUGGCGCCGUUGAGUUAUGGUGGUGGUCCGAUGGUUGAAGGUGACGACAUUUGUGGAGGUUAACGGCGGAUGAAGGGAUUUUGGUGAGGCGGAGAAGAUGAUUGAUGGUGAAACAGAAGGGGUUUCGGCGGUUGAAGGUGGGUCGCGAUUGGGGUUUUACGGCGGAGGUUCUAUGGUGACGGAUGAGCGUGAGAUUUUUCAGAGUUUUUAGAGAGAGUAAUUGUGAGGAUUUUUCUGUGUAGGUUGUUGUGCGGUGUCAGUUUUGAGAGUCAAAAGGAAAGUUGUGAGUGGUGAGUGAUUUAGUAGUGGAGAGAGACGUUGGGGAGCCAGAUGGAAGAGAUCAUUUUAGAUCUCCUUUUUUUUGAUUUUCUUCUUUUGUAGUCGUUAGAGGAGAGAGAUAUAAAGAGAUUUUUUUUGUUUUUUAUGCAAAGAAGGAAUCCAAUGCACACAAUAUAUACAUAUAUAUUUUUUCCAACUAUUAUUCUUUUAAGNGAUAACCCUAAACAGCAUGAUGCUCCUCCCCGCAUAAACCGAGCGAAACCAGUGAAUUAAUCAGGGAAUCAGAAAUACAAAACUUUAAACCGAAGUUACGGCAUAUAUACAACCUGUUUGAACCUUAUAAUAACAGCCUAAUAUAAAUCUUCCUGUAACAUGUAAAGAAAACAAUAAUAUACACACAAAAUCCAAGCCAAAUGUAAACAAAACAAUUUGUAGCAGCAAGUCGCCAUGUAUAUGUAUGAAUUACAUAACGACCAAAUUUUCCCAACUGCACAUCUUUAUGUAAAUCCAAGCAGCUUAUUCUAAAAUCAUGAAUUGAAAAAUCAUAACAACCACGACAGAUACACUACAGAACUUUCUCAAUACACAACAGCCUUUUACUAAUAAAACUAUGGCAUAUAACAAUGAAUCUCAUAGCAACCUAACCAAAACAACUAUAUGAUUAAAGCCAAACCGUAAUGGACAUUUUUGAAGAGAACUCGAGAUUGUUACCGAAAUACGACUCUUCCGGUAUUACCAGCUACUGAUGCAUUUGUCGUUGCUGCUAGUUCUUACUAUUGUUUUAUUGCCUCCGCUCACUCAAAGCUUCCUCCUGCGAUCUGUCCCGGUUUUGAUUUCGACUCUAUGGCCACAAUGAUCAUCGACCUGUCCUCAAGGCUUGCGAGACCGAAAUCACCGCAAUGAAGGUGACGACAUUUGUGGAGGUUAACGGCGGAUGAAGGG